GUGCUCGCUUCAGCAGCACAUGUACUCAAAUUGGAAUGAUACCAAGAAGAUUAGCAUGGGCCCUGCGCAGGAUGACAUGCGAAUUCGUGAAGCAUUAGAACAUCUC
Small nuclear RNA from Myotis lucifugus (little brown bat), 106 nucleotides. The record is from Ensembl. NCBI's taxonomy places the organism in Eukaryota, Metazoa, Chordata, Mammalia, Chiroptera, Vespertilionidae.